Leptopilina heterotoma is the source of this 827-nucleotide long non-coding RNA. RefSeq lists it as uncharacterized. The record is from RefSeq and is a predicted model, not a curated record. NCBI's taxonomy places the organism in Eukaryota, Metazoa, Arthropoda, Insecta, Hymenoptera, Figitidae. The transcript is spliced from 4 exons.
CGUCGCUUUUGUGUUGAACUUCGUUUUCCACCAGUGAAUUUUGUCGGCUUGUGUGUCUUCGUGGAAAUUCUUUGAGAAUAGGAGUUUGAUGAUGACCAAUCGUUUCCAUAUCUAUCGUGCGACGAAUGAUCCAAAUGAAUAGAAGCGGACUCCGAAAUUUUCAAGUGUCCUCAAAAAAUGGAAAUUUACCUUUGAACGUUUACCGUAAAAGGUAAACUGUAAAAGAAGUCUACUCAACUUAAAGGUCUUCUGACUUUUAACUUUGAUGUCGCCCGAGUGAAGUGAUGAGGGGAGUUUUUUUAAAAAACAAAAGGUCAACACCAAAAGCAAAAGGAAUUAUUUUUCUCCUAACUGUGUACUCGUAGGCAGAGGAGGUUAAACAAAUCACGAGAUGGUUCAUGAGCGAUGUAAUGAGGACUCGAGUAGGGCGUUGUUCUGUAUUUGAAGACUUCGACGAAUUUGAGAGUGGCGAUGACGAUUGCGGCAACGGUGAAGGACACGAUGACGAUUUUGAAUUUUAUUAGGAGCAGAGCUAUCCAACCCUUGAGACCGCCCAAAACUGUGGACGAAGGAGAGAACAGAGAGAGAAAGAGAAGUCUAUUAUUUCACUAUGCAUUCGAAUCGCUUUAGGAUUCACACCCGGCCCCGCAUAUAGGACAAGAGUGUAAAGUGGUAUAAUAUAGAAAACGAAGAUGAUGAUUAGAAGAAGAACUUACGCAAAAGAUGAUAUUUGUGUUUGCGAGAUUGCAGUUCAUUUCCGUUCGAUUCAUUGUCAUCGAUGUCAUUGUUAUUGGUGAGUUUUGACGUUUGAAUGGGGUCCGCAGCCA